Molecule: ribosomal RNA, 498 nt
Filed under: uncultured bacterium
Lineage: Bacteria
Description: partial 16S ribosomal RNA
Rfam family: Bacterial small subunit ribosomal RNA
Source: RNAcentral
AUUGAACGCUGGCGGCAUGCCUUACACAUGCAAGUCGAACGGUAACAGGUCUUCGGAUGCUGACGAGUGGCGAACGGGUGAGUAAUACUUCGGAACGUGCCUAGUAGUGGGGGAUAACUACUCGAAAGAGUGGCUAAUACCGCAUGAGAUCUACGGAUGAAAGCAGGGGAUCGCAAGACCUUGUGCUACUAGAGCGGCCGAUGGCAGAUUAGGUAGUUGGUGGGAUAAAAGCUUACCAAGUCGACGAUCUGUAGCUGGUCUGAGAGGACGAUCAGCCACACUGGGACUGAGACACGGCCCAGACUCCUACGGGAGGCAGCAGUGGGGAAUUUUGGACAAUGGGCGCAAGCCUGAUCCAGCAAUGCCGCGUGCAGGAUGAAGGCCUUCGGGUUGUAAACUGCUUUUGUACGGAACGAAAAGCCCCGGGUUAAUACCCUGGGGUCAUGACGGUACCGUAAGAAUAAGCACCGGCCAACUACGUGCCAGCCGCCGCGGUAA